RNAcentral lists this ribosomal RNA (440 nucleotides) under uncultured bacterium. RNAcentral describes it as "partial 16S ribosomal RNA". It matches the Rfam family "Bacterial small subunit ribosomal RNA", at positions 338 to 795 of the family's 1533-position model. The record is from RNAcentral.
CCUACGGGAGGCUGCAGUGGGGAAUAUUGCACAAUGGGGGAAACCCUGAUGCAGCAACGCCGCGUGAGUGAAGAAGUAUCUCGGUAUGUAAAGCUCUAUCAGCAGGGAAGAAGAUGACGGUACCUGAGUAAGAAGCCCCGGUGAACUACGUGCCAGCAGCCGCUGAAAUACGGAGGGGGCAAGCGUUAUCCGGAUUUACUGGGUGGAAAGGGAGCGUAGACGGGGAGACAAGUCUGUAGUGAAAGCUCGGGGCUCAACCCCGGGACUGCUUUGGACACUGCCUGACUUGAGUGCUGGAGAGGUAAGCGGAAUUCGUGGUGUAGCGGUGAAAUGCGUAGAUAUUAGGAAGAACACCAGUGGCGAAGGCAGCUUGCUAGACAGUAACUGACGUUGAGGCUCGAAAGCGUGGGGAGCAAACAGGAUUAGAUACCCCAGUAGUC